RNAcentral lists this ribosomal RNA (340 nucleotides) under Gram-positive bacterium Z4. Its description in RNAcentral is "bacterial SSU rRNA". It matches the Rfam family "Bacterial small subunit ribosomal RNA", at positions 488 to 827 of the family's 1533-position model. The record is from RNAcentral.
AAGCACCGGCUAACUACGUGCCAGCAGCCGCGGUAAUACGUAGGGUGCAAGCGUUGUCCGGAAUUAUUGGGCGUAAAGAGCUCGUAGGCGGUUUGUCGCGUCUGCUGUGAAAACCUGAGGCUCAACCUCAGACCUGCAGUGGGUACGGGCAAGCUAGAGUGCGGUAGGGGAGAUGGGAAUUCCUGGUGUAGCGGUGGAAUGCGCAGAUAUCAGGAGGAACACCGAUGGCGAAGGCACAUCUCUGGGCCGUAACUGACGCUGAGGAGCGAAAGCGUGGGGAGCGAACAGGAUUAGAUACCCUGGUAGUCCACGCCGUAAACGGUGGGUGCUNGUUGUGGGU